This 234-nucleotide long non-coding RNA is filed under the name Elaeis guineensis (African oil palm). Its description in RNAcentral is "long non-coding RNA (EGUI_LNC057546)". The record is from RNAcentral. Lineage: Eukaryota; Viridiplantae; Streptophyta; Magnoliopsida; Arecales; Arecaceae.
UCCCUGCACCCUAAAUAUGUUCAUAAGUAUGGAAUCAUGUCAAACUCAAAUAUAUAUUCAUAUCAAUUCUCAAUUAACCAAUGAUGACUCUGAUGAAGAAGCAUUAGAAACUCUUUUUAAUCUCCUUCCUGCUUUUGGCCAAAAGACUUUUUUCGAGUCAUCUAAGAAUGAGAAUACACAGGAUGUAAUCUGCUCUUACUAGGAGUGAUCGAUUCCAUGUUGACCUACUCAUAA